This 380-nucleotide ribosomal RNA is filed under the name uncultured eukaryote. RNAcentral's name for it is "partial 18S ribosomal RNA". It matches the Rfam family "Eukaryotic small subunit ribosomal RNA", at positions 592 to 976 of the family's 1831-position model. The record is from RNAcentral.
CAAUAGCGUAUAUUAAAGUUGUUGCAGUUAAAAAGCUCGUAGUUGGAUUUGUGGUGUACUUCGGCGGCCCGUCACUAUGUGAUGGAGCUUGCUGAAGUCGCCAUCCUUGGGUGGAUCCUGUGUGGCAUUAAGUUGUCGUGCAGGGGAUGCCCAUCGUUUACUGUGAAAAAAUUAGAGCGUUCAAAGCAGGCUUAUGCCGUUGAAUAUAUUAGCAUGGAAUAAUAAGAUAGGACCUUGGUACUAUUUUGUUGGUUUGCGCACCAAGGUAAUGAUUAAUAGGGACAGUUGGGGGUAUUCGUAUUUCAUUGUCAGAGGUGAAAUUCUUGGAUUUUUGAAAGACGAACUACUGCGAAAGCAUUUACCAAGGAUGUUUUCAUUAA